ACUGUCAAAACCCCAACUCGUCCUUUUCCGUUCUCUUUAUUCAGCACAGAAGAGAGAGAGGGAGGGGAGGAGAGAGAGAGCUUAUCCCGGAGAUUGACGGCAGGGAAGAGCUUUCACAUUCUCACGACAAGCAAAGUUUUGCAGGCAAAAGGCCCAACCAGAGCUCUGGUUAGUGGUUUCUGCGUUUAUCUUACCAUUAGAGCAGUUUGUAAGCAACUAUGAGCAACCAUGAAAGACAACAAACAAUUUGAACGGCCAUGGAAAAACGGCAGUACGUUUGGGAAACAGACGAAAUAAGAACUUUCUCGAGAGUAAUUUGUAGAGAGAGUUCAAGGACUUGGGAGGCCUUUUAUUGAUUCUGGAAUUUAGUUCCGCCGACGUUCGAUCAUUCAGUUUUGAUGCGGUUUCAGAGCGUCAGGAGACGUAAUUAACUGUUGAACGGAUUCGACUUCUUGUUGAUUCAGGAAUUUGGUUUUGUUGUUUUCUGGAAGUCGUCAGUAAUUACUUGAGUUGUCUAGAAAAGAGGAUGAAUCACUGCGUUCCUGAUUUCGAGAGGGACGAAGAUUUCUCGCUUUCUAAUUCUUCCGUGCAAUUGCGCUUCAAAACAUCUUCCAUGUCAGACGGCGAGGUUAUGGAACUUCUUUGGCAGAACGGGCAGGUGAUUAUGCAAAAUCAGAACCAGAAAUCUAGAACGAAAUCCCCACCUUCAACAACUGCCGACCAAAUUACGAGUGGAGAUAAUCAACCUUUGCAACAAGAUGAACCACCGCAGCUUUUCAUGCAGGAAGACGAAAUGAUUUCGUGGCUUCAUUAUCCUCUUGUCGAUGAUUCUACCUUGGAGAAUAGCUUCUGCAAUGAACUCCUCUAUCAUUCGGAUCCUCAGAGUAUUGAUCAAAACGAUGGCGUUUCUUCUCAAAUUCGUACUAGUCAUGGCGUGGAGUUUCAGCCGUUAACGACAACGGCGACUUCAACGAUGGCUGCUCGGCCGCCAAUACCACCAAUGAGAAGAACGGAACCGGAAACAGAGGUAAAUAAUUUCGGACUCUUCUCGAGGUUCACACCUACGGUCGAAUCUCCUCCGUCGAAUUCGAAGAGCAUAGUAAGAGAAUCUCCGGUGGUUGGUUCGACUUCGAGCAACACAACGGUGUUGACGCUCGAAUCUACGGCUUCGGAAUUACAGAGGACGGCUACGGCCGAUGCAUCAAUCGGUGAUUUAGCCUGCGCGGUUAUGAGCGGUGGUGGAGUAGCGGCUACAUCGACUGGUAAUGGUGUAGGGCUGAUGAAGAUGAUAGGUGGUGAAACAGAAUCGAUUCAAAGGACGAUGAGUCUUGAGGACCGGAAGCGGAAAGGAAAAGAAAUGGAUGAUUCCGACUACCAAUGCUACAGCCCGGACGUUGAGUUCGAAGCUACUGAUGUGAAGAAGCAAGCUCGUGGAUCAACCUCUACAAAAAGAUCUCGUGCUGCUGAGGUCCAUAAUCUCUCUGAGCGAAGAAGAAGAGAUAGGAUAAAUGAAAAGAUGAAAGCUUUGCAGGAGCUCAUACCUCGGUGUAACAAGGUAGACAAAGCUUCAAUGUUGGAUGAGGCAAUUGAGUACUUGAAGUCACUUCAGUUGCAAGUUCAGAUAAUGUCCAUGGGAUGUGGUAUGGUGCCCAUGAUGUUUCCUGGGGUCCAACAAUUCAUGCCGCCAAUGGGAAUGGGACUUGGAAUGGGCAUGGGCAUGGGCAUGGAAACAGGUGUGAACCGUCCCAUGAUGCCAUACCCCAACAUGUUAGCUGGGCCAAUGUUUCCAAGGCAAUCUGGAGCUGCUCAACUUGGCCCAACUUUCUCAUUCCCAGCCUUCAAUAUGGCGCAUCAGAAUUCAAGAAUUCAAGAGACAAAUCAGUCGAAUCAAUUGCACAGCUUACCAGGAAUGAAAAAUAUAAACCCGCCAGGGGCCUCAAGUUCACUCGAUGGCUAUCAGCAGUUUCUUGGUUCCCAACAGAUGCCUGCGCCAGCCGCAGUAUCACAGCCUUCCCGACAGAAUCAACCAGCCAAUCAACAAAAUAGUGGGGGACUUGAAAACAUCGACAAUCACGAACCAGGAAGCCCCACCAUGGAUCCAUGCUGAAAUUGGAGGAAGCAUGGAAUGUCCUGGAUAGGCCUCCAUGCCUGCAAAAUUUUGUAGCUAGAGCAUUGAAAGAGGAAAUGGGAAGGGGAAGAGGAAGAAGGCAAGUGCUGGUGAAGAGAAGACUAAGGUGAACCAAGAGAAUUUAAUUUGGAUUUUGAAGUGAGAAUCAUAGACUAGAUAUAUAUAUAUAUAUAUAUAGAUAUAGAUAUAUAAUAAGUAUUUAACCUAUUCGAUCUUUUAGGUUAACCACGUCUAAGUUUAAUGUUUUUUUUUUUAAUGUUUUUUGUUAUGCUCUUUUCUGACUUAUGACUUAUUAUUAAAGAUUAUUCGUUUGGUUCAAUAAUGUUUUCGUUUAG
Cucurbita pepo subsp. pepo (vegetable marrow) is the source of this 2463-nucleotide RNA transcript. It is a transcript of the gene named transcription factor PIF1, with no coding region annotated. The record is from RefSeq and is a predicted model, not a curated record. NCBI's taxonomy places the organism in Eukaryota, Viridiplantae, Streptophyta, Magnoliopsida, Cucurbitales, Cucurbitaceae.